UACGUAGGGGCUAGCGUUAUCCGGAAUUACUGGGCGUAAAGGGUGCGUAGGUGGUUUCUUAAGUCAGAGGUGAAAGGCUACGGCUCAACCGUAGUAAGCCUUUGAAACUGGGAAACUUGAGUGCAGGAGAGGAGAGUGGAAUUCCUAGUGUAGCGGUGAAAUGCGUAGAUAUUAGGAGGAACACCAGUUGCGAAGGCGGCUCUCUGGACUGUAACUGACACUGAGGCACGAAAGCGUGGGGAGCAAACAGGAUUAGAUACCCGUGUAGUCCCUGAGCGGG
RNAcentral lists this ribosomal RNA (280 nucleotides) under uncultured prokaryote. RNAcentral's name for it is "partial 16S ribosomal RNA". It matches the Rfam family "Bacterial small subunit ribosomal RNA", at positions 524 to 803 of the family's 1533-position model. The record is from RNAcentral.